Molecule: ribosomal RNA, 259 nt
Filed under: uncultured prokaryote
Description: partial 16S ribosomal RNA
Rfam family: Bacterial small subunit ribosomal RNA
Source: RNAcentral
UACGUAGGUGGCAAGCGUUGUCCGGAUUUAUUGGGCGUAAAGCGAGCGCAGGCGGUUCCUUAAGUCUGAUGUGAAAGCCCACGGCUCAACCGUGGAAGGUCAUUGGAAACUGGGUAACUUGAGUGCAGAAGAGGAGAGUGGAAUUCCAUGUGUAGCGGUGAAAUGCGUAGAUAUAUGGAGGAACACCAGUGGCGAAGGCGACUCUCUGGUCUGUAACUGACGCUGAGGCUCGAAAGCGUGGGGAGCAAACAGGAUUAGA